AGAGUGAGAAGAAAAGGUAUUUUGGAAAACAGAGAUUAAGUUUCAGCCCAGAACAUGUGGAGAAAGGCAGGAGCUAGGGUCUGAAGGGCAGGCACGGGGCACCAGAGCCCACAGUAAGGCUCGGAAAACCUCAGCUAGAGCGGUGGCUAGAAGGUGGGUAAAGUGAAGAGAAGAGGGGCAACUACAAGUGGCUUCCCUGGAUGGGGGGGCACUUCUCUAACCCUCCAGACUUGAGAGGCAUUCUCACUUCCUUUGCUGCUCAGCUUCCAGUGACAAUGUUUCCAUGCUGAAACACCCUAAUGCAUGUGAUUGUUUCAGAGACAAGUUCUGGAAAGGACAUGGUCCCAUCUCCUAUUGAACCCAGUCCAACAAACAAACCGAAAGUAAUCAGAACUAAUUCAUAUCUUUGCUCAGUCUCUCAGGAAACAGGCAAAGGUGGAGCUGGGAUAGACAAAGUAUGUUUUCAUGCCCAAGAAAAGUAGCAAAUUGUUGCACAAAUCCAUUCAUCCCUCAUUCACCACUUUUCAUACUCCUCACUUCCUAAUAUCUUCUGAAAAUCCCCACACUCUCAACUCCCAACUUCAGUACCCACUCACUUUCUAAUAUAAACCUUCCAGCUUCUCCAGAUUUCCCCCAGCUAUUUACUUACACCAAAAUUCAUAAUGAGGUCCAGGUGAAUGAGUCUGCGUCAGUGGGAGGGAUCCUCCCUGAGUCAGGGAAAUGGGCUGAUUCACUCACAUUGUUUCUGCCUGCAGUGUUCUUCCUUCAGCUAUCUGUAUGGCUUUUUUAUAAGAAGAAGAAGGAGAAGAAGAAGGAGGAGGUGGAGGAGAAGGCAAACUUAAAAAGCCACCAUAAUGGAAGCUCUGUGACCUUAGACACUUUGUACCCCACUGCCUGAAGUGAUAGCUGGCAUGUAAUGAACACUCAAUGAACAUGGAAUGAAUGAAUGAAUGAACAUUCUAGUAUCAUGCAUCCCUGCUCCUCAGAGGCUAAUUACAUUGUAUACAACCACACUUGUCAACCCUACACUUGGAAUGAUGGUGCAUAUUAAAAGGUAUGGUCCUGAAGUUGUAUUUUUUUCUGUCACCAUUGAGUGACUUCUUCUGGGCCCUUUAGAGAGACAGAUACCUUUGCAAGUUAGGUUUUCCAUCUGUUAAUGGGACCAUAACACACCUGAGAAACCAUCUAUACCCUUGCAUGUGGCACUUGAACUUUUCAAUGUGGAGACCCAUAUAAAGGCCAAUGUAAGUGACAUUAUCAUUGCUGUCUCAUUGCUUCGACUAUUAAUAGUGAUUGUCAACGAUGACAACUUUCAGGCAGUAUGAAGCCUUCCAGAGUGUUUUUUUUUUUCUUCCAGAGUCUUCAAGACUAAUACUCAACCUGAAAACAUCUUCCUCUUACCAAGACAGCACUUCCUAGGAAAACGUAUUUUUCAGGUAAUUUUACUUCAGUACAAGUGGGCUUCUCUCCUUGUACAGCACGUGAGUAAGAGAAGAAACUCACUUAUGAAGUACUUUACUACCUUGUCUAAAUAAGGGAAAAGAAAAUGUACCAGGAAGCCUCAGAGCCAAAUUGAGCUCAAAUGCAGGCAUCCUCCUCAGCUACACCUCUCAGGAAAGCACCUCCUUUAAAUACAUAUUUGUACCACUUCAACAUCAGAAAAACUUGGUAUUUUCCAAAACAGUUUUUUUUCCCCUGCCCAAUAGCUAGAAAUUUCUUAGGAGUGAGUGUCUUCCCUAAAACAACAAACCAUCUUCUUUUAGCUCCGUGCCCUCAGAGAAAAUAAGACAGCCUCAGAGAUUUGAGUUUCCGUAACCUCAGCACUUGUAGACAGUAAGCAGACUAGCAGGGGACUUCACCAACAGUUAUGAUCUGGUGGUACAGCGGGAAAUCUGUUUUUGGAAGCUAAAAUCAGUGGGCACUCCUUGAGCUGGGAAGAUUCUGAGGUUUAGCAGCUUAGAUAGCAGAGAUGGUAACAUGCUGACAAAGAUGGCUGAAGCCAUACGUCAGGGAGCAGUCCUAUUGUAACUACAUUAGGAACACUCCAAUGAUUGUAAGCAUAGAAUAUCUCUGUCCAAAUUCAACAGAAAUUGUAAGAAACCUCAGAUUACUUCUCAGAGGAGCAGGGAGCAUCGUCUGUGCUAAAAUCAGAAAGUGGAGUGGCCUGGAGGCCUUCCUAGAGAAAGGUUGGAAGUUACCAGGGCAUUCGAUUCAGUCCACCUUGGCAGGAAGACCCUAAGAAUGCUUUUCGGCUCUUCCUCUGGAUACUCCCUCUUUAAAUUCCUUAGUGACUGUCUCCACUUUCCCAGAUCAGGUCAAAUAUCUUAGCAAGUGGAAAAUACCCUCUUAUUAUAAAACAAAAAUAUGGAGGACUUCUGCCCCAUGCCUCCAAAAGAUUGGUUAAUGGGUGGCUACAUGUUUACUGUCUUAGUGUAAGGCUAAGUGUGCACUUUGCAGGCUGAUGAAUUGGAAACUUCUCUUUAGUAGGUGACAGCAGGCCUGCUUGAAAAUUAUUUCUCCUGUCAAAAUAGUAGUGAUAGUAAUAGCUACUAUGCAUGGAGAGAGCAUAGUGGUAAAGAGCAUGGGCCAUGGAGUCAGAUGGAUUCCUGACCCUGCUGCUUACUAUUUGUCCAUUUCCUAAGCAAGUUGCUUAACCUCUGUAUGUUUUAGUUCGCUCGACUAUAAAAUGGAGAUACACAAGGAAACUAACAACGGCAAACGAUUUCAAAUAUUUGCUAGGUACUAAACAUUAUUCUGGUGUUUUGCCUUCAUUAACUAAUUUAAUGUGUUCCAUGACCCCAUGAGGUGCGUGCCUUUGUUAUAUGACUCCUGAGUUUCCUGCACUCUCCUGCCUUGAGUUCCAGAGACCCUGGACACCUGUGAAGGAGGAUGACGUGCUUCACGGGCAUUAUCUCAUGUAAUCCUCACAGCACUUUUAUGAGGAGGGCACUCUUAUUUGACCCACUUCUGCUUGGGAAAACUGAGGUGCAGAGGUUAAGUAACUUACCCAAAGACAGUAAGUAGCAGUGCUUCGAAAAAUAGGCAGACCAUGCUGUUAAUUAUUAGGCAUCAUAAUAUCUGUUCCCCCAGAGCUCCCCCUGUUUGUUAAAGGGGAGUGAAACCAACUCAAAUCACAUGUUUGUGAAUGGGAAACAUUUAAAAAGGAUGGCUGAAGAGCUGCCUCCAGUGCUUGCAUCAAAAUAAACAGAACUGAUAGACACAA
Long non-coding RNA from Herpailurus yagouaroundi (jaguarundi), 3223 nucleotides. RefSeq lists it as uncharacterized. Lineage: Eukaryota; Metazoa; Chordata; Mammalia; Carnivora; Felidae. The transcript has 3 exons. The record is from RefSeq and is a predicted model, not a curated record.